GGCGGCGUCGCCAAGCGGCAAGGCACAGGUCGGCAAAACCUUUAUCGCGGGUUCGAGUCCCGCCGCCGCCG
This 71-nucleotide transfer RNA is filed under the name Blastocatellia bacterium. Its description in RNAcentral is "tRNA-Cys". It matches the Rfam family "tRNA". From Rfam's summary of the family: Transfer RNA (tRNA) molecules are approximately 80 nucleotides in length. Lineage: Bacteria; Pseudomonadati; Acidobacteriota; Blastocatellia. The record is from RNAcentral.